RNAcentral lists this ribosomal RNA (301 nucleotides) under uncultured bacterium. RNAcentral's name for it is "partial 16S ribosomal RNA". It matches the Rfam family "Bacterial small subunit ribosomal RNA", at positions 509 to 809 of the family's 1533-position model. The record is from RNAcentral.
CAGCCGCCGCGGUAAUACGUAGGGUGCGAGCGUUAAUCGGAAUUACUGGGCGUAAAGCGUGCGCAGGCGGUUAUAUAAGACAGAUGUGAAAUCCCCGGGCUCAACCUGGGACCUGCAUUUGUGACUGUAUAGCUAGAGUACGGUAGAGAGGGAUGGAAUUCCGCGUGUAGCAGUGAAAUGCGUAGAUAUGCGGAGGAACACCGAUGGCGAAGGCAAUCCCCUGGACCUGUACUGACGCUCAUGCACGAAAGCGUGGGGAGCAAACAGGAUUAGAUACCCCUGUAGUCCCUGUCUCUUAUAU